Molecule: ribosomal RNA, 503 nt
Filed under: uncultured bacterium
Lineage: Bacteria
Description: bacterial SSU rRNA
Rfam family: Bacterial small subunit ribosomal RNA
Source: RNAcentral
GAUGAACGCUAGCGGCAGGCCUCAUACAUGCAAGUCGAGGGGCAGCAUGACACUUCGGUGUUGAUGGCGACCGGCGCACGGGUGCGUAACGCGUAUGCAAUCUACCUUGUACAGGGGAAUAGCUUCUGGAAACGGGAAUUAAUACCCCAUAUUAUCUAUUUGUCGCAUGGUGAAUAGAUGAAAGCUCCGGCGGUACAAGAUGAGCAUGCGUCCCAUUAGCUUGUUGGUAAGGUAACGGCUUACCAAGGCUACGAUGGGUAGGGGGUCUGAGAGGAUGAUCCCCCACACUGGCACUGAGAUACGGGCCAGACUCCUACGGGAGGCAGCAGUAGGGAAUAUUGGGCAAUGGGCGCAAGCCUGACCCAGCCAUGCCGCGUGCAGGAUUGAAGGUCCUUAGGAUUGUAAACUGCUUUUUUAUGGGAGCAAUAACUUCUUGCGAGAAGGUAUGAGAGUACCAUAAGAAUAAGCACCGGCUAACUCCGUGCCAGCCGCCGCCGUAACAC